GAUGAACGCUAGCGGCAGGCUUAACACAUGCAAGUCGAGGGGUAUAGUUCUUCGGAACUAGAGACCGGCGCACGGGUGCGUAACGCGUAUGCAAUCUACCUUUCACAGAGGGAUAGCCCAGAGAAAUUUGGAUUAAUACCUCAUAGUAUUAUAGAGUGGCAUCACUUUAUAAUUAAAGUCACAACGGUGAAAGAUGAGCAUGCGUCCCAUUAGCUAGUUGGUAAGGUAACGGCUUACCAA
RNAcentral lists this ribosomal RNA (240 nucleotides) under uncultured Flavobacterium sp. RNAcentral's name for it is "partial 16S ribosomal RNA". It matches the Rfam family "Bacterial small subunit ribosomal RNA", at positions 28 to 271 of the family's 1533-position model. The record is from RNAcentral. Lineage: Bacteria; Pseudomonadati; Bacteroidota; Flavobacteriia; Flavobacteriales; Flavobacteriaceae.